UUGGACCUGAUAUCAGGCAAGAUUACCGCGUGAACUUAUGCAU
RNAcentral lists this ribosomal RNA (43 nucleotides) under Phytophthora inflata. RNAcentral's name for it is "partial 28S ribosomal RNA". The record is from RNAcentral. Lineage: Eukaryota; Oomycota; Peronosporomycetes; Peronosporales; Peronosporaceae.